Molecule: non-coding RNA, 96 nt
Organism: Apodospora peruviana
Lineage: Eukaryota; Fungi; Ascomycota; Sordariomycetes; Sordariales; Lasiosphaeriaceae
Source: the annotation of a GenBank genome assembly
GGUUGUAUAGUGUAGCGGUUAUCACCCCAGAUUCUGAUUUCUUUCUAGAGAGAAGUUUAUCUUCUGGUGACCCCGGUUCGAUUCCGGGUACGACCU